AUGUGUUGUGCUAAUAAACAAGGUUUUCAUUUUGUUUUAGUAAAGAAAGCGGAAAUUUUAUAAAAGACAACCAUUUAACUUAAUUAGUUACUGGUAAACAUCAUAAUUCAUUAGUAAGUAGGUAGGUAAUUAAAGUAAAUUCUUGGAAUAGUCAUAUAUCUACAUCGAUAGGUAUUAAAGAAUAGUGUUUAUCGCGCAACCUUUUAAUAGUGUAUAUAUAACCUGGCGACCUUUAAAUGCUUGGUUAUUGUCUUGCGUUUGAUUCACCAGACAACAUGUUUCGACAAAUUUUUGUUUUUGCAACUAUGUUAAUAGCGUCAGGCGUGUGCCUGUCAACCGGACCAGAAAAGACGCCUGAAGUACACAUUGAUUGUGGCGCUAUUCCGUAUAUCUACAGCCCUGUGUGCGGGUCUGAUGGCCAAACAUAUGCAAACGAUGCUGUGCUAAGAUGCCAUAAUCUACAGCAAGAAGCUAAUUCGCGACAUACCGUUACUGUUGUGAAACACGGCAAAUGUGAUUAGUGGUGACUAUUUAUAUAGUUUAAUAAAGUUACCUAUGAAGUAAAUAUAAAUAAUCCAUCAUCUUGGUCCAUCUUUGAACUUUUGUAAGACUCAUUAUACUUAGGUACCUUCCUACUACUAACAUUUAUUAUAAUACUAGCGACCCGCCCCGGCUUCGCUCGGGUGCAAUGCUGAGGAAAAAAUUGAAAUUAUUUACGACAUCACAUUAAAAACCUCAAAAAAUA
Molecule: long non-coding RNA, 745 nt
Organism: Pectinophora gossypiella (pink bollworm)
Lineage: Eukaryota; Metazoa; Arthropoda; Insecta; Lepidoptera; Gelechiidae
Exons: 2
Source: RefSeq, a predicted model, not a curated record